This 365-nucleotide transfer-messenger RNA is filed under the name Lysobacterales. RNAcentral describes it as "W260 sp008725655 Standard tmRNA". It matches the Rfam family "transfer-messenger RNA". Rfam says of the family: Bacterial tmRNA, also known as 10Sa RNA or SsrA, is named for its dual tRNA and mRNA-like properties. Its role is to liberate the mRNA from a stalled ribosome. The record is from RNAcentral. Lineage: Bacteria; Pseudomonadati; Pseudomonadota; Gammaproteobacteria. RNAcentral also lists the same sequence under 1 other name.
GGGGGCGACCUGGCUUCGACGUGGGUCGUGAAACCCGAGGUGCAUGCCGAGCUGCAAGCAACUCGUUAAAAGGUUUGCAAACAAGUUAGUUGCCAACGACGACAACUACGCACUCGCAGCUUAAACACCUGCCGUAGUGCCCUCCGCCCGGAGCUUGCCCGUGAGCACCGGAGCCCGGGGGUCGACCCACACGGGAUCGCGAUGAAGCACGCCUGGUGUGGAUUCGUUAAAACCUCAUCCAGGCUCGCUGGUGGUUUUCCCUCGCCGAUCGGGUAGCCCACAGCUAAAUUAAUAGAUCGACUAAGCAUGUAGAGCCAAAGGCGAAUCACUUGCGGACGCGGGUUCGAUUCCCGCCGCCUCCACCA